CACCAAGGAAUACUCCAGCAAGGAAAGCGGCCAUUUUACACACGUGGAGCGAAUUUUUUGGAUUUAUUACUGACUCGACCGAAAAAAGCACUUUAUUCAGUCAUGACCAUAUGUUACCUCGGUUCAUGAUGUACGAGAUUUUAGCAACCGUCCUACCUUGGUCCAUGGUGUACGGAAUGUCCGCUCAUGCUUUUUAAACACUGAUGGCAUCCUUGAUUAUGUUGAUUUCGUCCAGACGAUGGCGGAGAAAGUCCAAGACAAGGAAUGUGUUUAUGUUUUCGCACGCUUGCCCUUUUGACGAUUGGUCCGAUAACGAAUGGGAUGCUUGUACUCCUCAAUGGAACCUGUCAAACGCCAAAGAUGAGCGGGGAUGGGCGUCCCCCUGUUGGUUGAUUCUUCCAUAACAUGGGAAACGAUUCAAUAUCAAAUGAUGGAACCGCAUACACACCACGCGUCAACGAAGACAACCGCCAUCUCGAAGGAGGAGGAAAACCGUGAUGGAAUCUUCGCUCACAGUUGAUCAGUGCUUCAGGCAAGACCUACUCUUUGUAAAACUGCAAGCCAAACACUAGUCACACUUGUCAACGGUUCUGCCACAAAUGAUUACAAAUCGUUUUACAAGUUGAUACGACGCGACAGGCUUUUAAGCGUGGCUUUUACACAAGACAAGAUUUCAUUCGAACAGAAAAAGUUGUUAAGCAUAAAAAUACAUGGCAUAGCAGAAACAUGACAAGUGCAACUAGAUACUAGUGAGGUUUCGCAACCCUAAGAUAUAAAUCUACGUUUACGUUUUGAAAUUUUAAAAUCGUAACGAAUUUUAGCUCUUCUGAUUAAAAGGAACCGAUUUCACAAUGUUGCGAAGGGCGCGCAUAACCUCAGUGCAGAAAACUGCCCAACAUGUAUGUGCGUCACUCAGGCGUUUUGGAAACGUAAACGUGAUUGCGAAACCUCCCUAUUUUCCAAUACAUGACACCUGACAAUAACCUGGAGAGGGUUAAACUUAUAUUGACGUUUAUUGGGGGGGGGAUGAAAUUAUUUGAAAAAUGUUUAAUUCGUCAUACUUUUAAUGAUACCUUUUCAUGAAGUGUUUUUUCUCUAUUGCUGUAAGAAAAAAUCCUUUAAAAAGGCAUAAUUUCUUGGCCUCUGGUAUCUUUUGCAAUAACACCUGUUUUGCUGUUAAAAGUUUUAAAGCUUAUCGUAUAAAAAAAGUGAAAAAAGUGUCAGAGACUGACGGGAUUCGAACCCAAGACCUCUGGGUGGUAAGUCACACGCUCUAACCACUACUCCACCAAGCCACACUCUCAGUAGGGCUGCAAAAGAGCGAGUCCCUGAAGUUUAGGCCAGACGGCUCAUUGAAGAUUUAUGGUGAAUUGGUUGAAUAGGCAGGUUAUGAGAUCCUUUGUCAAAUAAGGUGUAUCCAUUUCUUUUGCAACAACACACAGUUUGUAGAUUUAAUUGAAUGAGACGUAGGCCUUUUCUCAGCAAUACAUUGUACAGAAUUAGAUUUAGAUGGAUUGAACUGAUUCAAACUAUGUAAGAAAUACUUUAAUCUCACUUCUAUAAGACCAUCUUAUCGAAAGUUAUUAUCAAUUUUCAGUACCGAAUACCGGGUGUUCGGUAUUGCUGAUUCAUGGGGAGGGGCGGGGCGGGGUCUACUGUAGACCACAUUAGAAAAACUAAAGCUUAAAAAUGCCUUUCUACCAAUUUUGAUUGGGAGAUUGUGGUGAAAUAUAUGAAAAAUGGUCUUAUGCAUGUGAUUUUACAGCGUUUCGCCUCAAUAUCUAUCUGUGAAACGUAAACAUUUAUGUAUAUGUUAUACGAUUG
Long non-coding RNA from Lineus longissimus, 1824 nucleotides. RefSeq lists it as uncharacterized. NCBI's taxonomy places the organism in Eukaryota, Metazoa, Nemertea, Pilidiophora, Heteronemertea, Lineidae. The transcript has 4 exons. The record is from RefSeq and is a predicted model, not a curated record.